This 90-nucleotide transfer RNA is filed under the name Antarctobacter aquimaris. RNAcentral describes it as "Maliponia aquimaris tRNA-Ser". It matches the Rfam family "tRNA". Rfam says of the family: Transfer RNA (tRNA) molecules are approximately 80 nucleotides in length. Their secondary structure includes four short double-helical elements and three loops (D, anti-codon, and T loops). The record is from RNAcentral. Lineage: Bacteria; Pseudomonadati; Pseudomonadota; Alphaproteobacteria; Rhodobacterales; Roseobacteraceae.
GGAGGUUUGGCAGAGUGGUCGAAUGCGGCGGUCUUGAAAACCGUUGAGGGUGAGAGCCCUCCGUGGGUUCGAAUCCCACAGCCUCCGCCA